Molecule: ribosomal RNA, 207 nt
Filed under: uncultured bacterium
Lineage: Bacteria
Description: partial 16S ribosomal RNA
Rfam family: Bacterial small subunit ribosomal RNA
Source: RNAcentral
UCCGUAGGUGGAUUAAUAAGUCAGAGGUGAAAUCCUGCAGCUUAACUGUAGAACUGCCUUUGAUACUGUUAAUCUUGAGUCAUUAUGAAGUGGUUAGAAUGUGUAGUGUAGCGGUGAAAUGCAUAGAUAUUACACAGAAUACCGAUUGCGAAGGCAGAUCACUAAUAAUGUACUGACACUGAGGGACGAAAGCGUGGGGAGCGAACA